AUGAUUUUGAUAUCCGUCCCCGUCGGCCCUCGUCCGGGUUAUGAUUCGGAUGUGGAGGUAGUUGAACCGGAAAUUCCAACCGACCCUAUUGUCGAGAGGUUAAAUUUAGUUAAAAGAGAAAACGAGGAUUUGAAGGAAAAAUUGAAAAGAAUUGAGGGGGAGAAGAUGGAAUUGGAGUUGCAUGUUGCCGAUGUCGUCGAUGAUCACAAGAUUAAGAUUGAGAAAAUGCGCUUGAAGAUUAGAAUAUUAGAAAAUAUGCCAUUCAUAGUGAGGCUUGGUAUCAUUAUGCUAUUGGAUCAAUUGUUACCUUAG
This 312-nucleotide ribosomal RNA is filed under the name Triticum aestivum (bread wheat). Its description in RNAcentral is "partial small subunit ribosomal RNA". Lineage: Eukaryota; Viridiplantae; Streptophyta; Magnoliopsida; Poales; Poaceae. The record is from RNAcentral.